UGUGGUAAUUUAGAGUUUAGCUCAUAUUUAAGCAACACACUAAAUAUUUGUGCAAACUUGGCAUGUAUUAGGGAUUUUUAAGCAAUUUUACUGCACAUUUUUAAGAAAUUGAGGUCAUAUUCAGCGUUCUAUUGUAGUUCUUAAAUUCCCAGUCUUCUAGCAAAUUUAACAGUUUGCAAAUAGCGUUUUCUUUUUCAGCAAAAAGCUUCAGCAUCUUCAGCUACUAUAUUCACACUAGCAAUAUCACAGGAGGAGCAGCUGCUGCUGUCCAGCAGAGGUGCAGGACGACGGCUGUGCACGAGUGUGCAGCUGUAACCGUAACGGACUGCCACGUCUGGUCCACGCUCCGGAAGUGUGAUCAGCCUAAGAGUGUGCUGGGCCCUCGGUGGGAACUCUGCGACAGGCGUGCACAGCUGUAAUGUGACGCCAUCCCUGGGAGGCCACGCCCAGUUCAUGCCGAGAAAGUGUGAUCAGCUCCAAAGGGGGGGAAUGGCGUGGUGACGGAUGACGGAGAAGGGAAUUUAGAGAGAUGGCUCUACAGGGUCAUUUAUAGUUGUAGCUUCAGCUCUUUUCCUUUCAGGCAUGCAUGAGUAAAAUAACUUUUCUCUGCUGUCACUGAUCUAAAAUCACUCUCUAUUAGAGCUCAGACAUCAUUAUGAAACUGACUGUCAAAGGAAAUCUGAAAAAUAAGAAUUAGUGAAAAAUAAAUAAGGUUCUUUUGUGGUUAUUUAAUGAAAAAGACAUCAAAUCCAGUGCUACACCUCUUAUUUUUAACGAUUAAUAAACGGUUUCUAGAAAUACAGACAUGUGCAUGUUUGGUAAUAAAAAAAGAAGAACCCACAUACUGUAUUUUAUAAACAGUUUUGGUACUGAUACUAUAAAGUACACGACCUAAGGUGAUAUUUAUCCCAAUUAGUACUAAAAUUGUUACAUUGAAAAUACUAGUUUUUAUCAUAUUACAUUUUUGAGUUGAUUGUAUUUGAUGAAAACUAAAAAAAAAUUGUAACAAAUUACAGAACUUUUGUUAAUUGAUCCUAUAUUUCGUUUUUUUCAGUGUUGACUAAAAAUCUUUUGUGAUUUUCUCUGCAGACGUAUGACUUAAGAUAAUAAUUUGAUUUGAUCUAUUGGUUUUUGUUCCACACAAUAAUUGUACCACAAAAAACUAAAAAAAGAAAAUAAAAACACACAGAUUCAUUAAACUCAUUUCAGAAACAAAGAAUUGCAUUGAUUAGAAAAUGAAUGAAAAUGUAAGACAAUAAGAGUGAAAUUACUCAUAUAUAUACAGAUUUUUGCAGUGAUGCAAUCCACACUUACAUCACAUUAGAUUAAUUAAAUACGAUUAUCGAGUAAAGUCUAGUAGAGUUGGAUUUUAUUGCUUGAAACGGAGUGGGAAGUAAGAAAUGUACAUAAUCUAUAAAGUUAUUACAUUUGAUAUUUUUGCACAGUUGUCAUAAUACGUUAAUUCAUAUCAAUGUAAACGGGUUAAAUGGGACGCGAGUGAAACACAAAGAAAGUGUUUUAAACUUUUACUUUUUUUUAAAGUCUGCAUUUGUUUUAGUUUUUUAAGUUUACUUGCUAAAUUUAUGUCAUAGUUUAUAUUGUUUUUUAUACUUUUCUUAUCAUGCGUGUUUUUUUUAUUUAUUUUUAUUUUUAAGAGUUUUAUCUUUUGGUUUUCUUGUGGCAAACGGACCUUGAGUCUCUAAUAAAGUAUUUAUAUAUUUGUGUUUCCACCUAAACUUGGUUCCAGAAUCUCCCACAACUUCUCCAUUUAUGGUAUCUUCCAAAUUCAGUGGAGUUUGGUUAGACGAGGAACAAAAAAAAGUCCAAAUUUGGGGAAAAAAAGUAACAUUACUGUCAUGGUUUUAAUGACAGCUCAUGCAUUUUUUUCUACCAAUUCUCAAAAAUUAUUUAAAAGUUGCCUUUUUGGAUGAAACUGAGACUUUUAAAGUCUCGGGGGCACACAGGUGAUCUGAAAUGUUCUGAAGUUGCUUUUUUUUGACUAACCUAGUGCUUUCGGAAAAUUUUGACGUUGAUUUUCUCCAAAAAGCCUCCAUGAGAGCCCAACUGGUUUAAACUGGUUGAUUGUGGUGAAUACUAGUCAUUCCUGGCCACCCAUGCUGCCGGCCUCAGGGCAGCAGCCGCUUCCCCCGACUGUGGAAGCAGAGAAGGGGAAAUGCUUUUCCACCACCUUUUAUCGGGUCACGUGGUCAACAAGAACUCUAUUUGUUGAGGGAAACCUGGAAGCCUGAGGGCCAAUAGUUAUGGUUAUGUUAGAGAUGAUCAGAUUAAAAAGAAAAAUAAA
This is a long non-coding RNA of Oryzias melastigma (Indian medaka), 2302 nucleotides long. RefSeq lists it as uncharacterized. Lineage: Eukaryota; Metazoa; Chordata; Actinopteri; Beloniformes; Adrianichthyidae. The transcript is spliced from 2 exons. The record is from RefSeq and is a predicted model, not a curated record.